This 1997-nucleotide ribosomal RNA is filed under the name Escherichia coli. RNAcentral's name for it is "partial 23S ribosomal RNA". It matches the Rfam family "Bacterial large subunit ribosomal RNA", at positions 819 to 2798 of the family's 2925-position model. Lineage: Bacteria; Pseudomonadati; Pseudomonadota; Gammaproteobacteria; Enterobacterales; Enterobacteriaceae. The record is from RNAcentral.
GGGUGAAAGGCCAAUCAAACCGGGAGAUAGCUGGUUCUCCCCGAAAGCUAUUUAGGUAGCGCCUCGUGAACUCAUCUCCGGGGGUAGAGCACUGUUUCGGCAAGGGGGUCAUCCCGACUUACCAACCCGAUGCAAACUGCGAAUACCGGAGAAUGUUAUCACGGGAGACACACGGCGGGUGCUAACGUCCGUCGUGAAGAGGGAAACAACCCAGACCGCCAGCUAAGGUCCCAAAGUCAUGGUUAAGUGGGAAACGAUGUGGGAAGGCCCAGACAGCCAGGAUGUUGGCUUAGAAGCAGCCAUCAUUUAAAGAAAGCGUAAUAGCUCACUGGUCGAGUCGGCCUGCGCGGAAGAUGUAACGGGGCUAAACCAUGCACCGAAGCUGCGGCAGCGACGCUUAUGCGUUGUUGGGUAGGGGAGCGUUCUGUAAGCCUGUGAAGGUGUGCUGUGAGGCAUGCUGGAGGUAUCAGAAGUGCGAAUGCUGACAUAAGUAACGAUAAAGCGGGUGAAAAGCCCGCUCGCCGGAAGACCAAGGGUUCCUGUCCAACGUUAAUCGGGGCAGGGUGAGUCGACCCCUAAGGCGAGGCCGAAAGGCGUAGUCGAUGGGAAACAGGUUAAUAUUCCUGUACUUGGUGUUACUGCGAAGGGGGGACGGAGAAGGCUAUGUUGGCCGGGCGACGGUUGUCCCGGUUUAAGCGUGUAGGCUGGUUUUCCAGGCAAAUCCGGAAAAUCAAGGCUGAGGCGUGAUGACGAGGCACUACGGUGCUGAAGCAACAAAUGCCCUGCUUCCAGGAAAAGCCUCUAAGCAUCAGGUAACAUCAAAUCGUACCCCAAACCGACACAGGUGGUCAGGUAGAGAAUACCAAGGCGCUUGAGAGAACUCGGGUGAAGGAACUAGGCAAAAUGGUGCCGUAACUUCGGGAGAAGGCACGCUGAUAUGUAGGUGAAGUCCCUCGCGGAUGGAGCUGAAAUCAGUCGAAGAUACCAGCUGGCUGCAACUGUUUAUUAAAAACACAGCACUGUGCAAACACGAAAGUGGACGUAUACGGUGUGACGCCUGCCCGGUGCCGGAAGGUUAAUUGAUGGGGUCAGCGCAAGCGAAGCUCUUGAUCGAAGCCCCGGUAAACGGCGGCCGUAACUAUAACGGUCCUAAGGUAGCGAAAUUCCUUGUCGGGUAAGUUCCGACCUGCACGAAUGGCGUAAUGAUGGCCAGGCUGUCUCCACCCGAGACUCAGUGAAAUUGAACUCGCUGUGAAGAUGCAGUGUACCCGCGGCAAGACGGAAAGACCCCGUGAACCUUUACUAUAGCUUGACACUGAACAUUGAGCCUUGAUGUGUAGGAUAGGUGGGAGGCUUAGAAGUGUGGACGCCAGUCUGCAUGGAGCCGACCUUGAAAUACCACCCUUUAAUGUUUGAUGUUCUAACGUUGACCCGUAAUCCGGGUUGCGGACAGUGUCUGGUGGGUAGUUUGACUGGGGCGGUCUCCUCCUAAAGAGUAACGGAGGAGCACGAAGGUUGGCUAAUCCUGGUCGGACAUCAGGAGGUUAGUGCAAUGGCAUAAGCCAGCUUGACUGCGAGCGUGACGGCGCGAGCAGGUGCGAAAGCAGGUCAUAGUGAUCCGGUGGUUCUGAAUGGAAGGGCCAUCGCUCAACGGAUAAAAGGUACUCCGGGGAUAACAGGCUGAUACCGCCCAAGAGUUCAUAUCGACGGCGGUGUUUGGCACCUCGAUGUCGGCUCAUCACAUCCUGGGGCUGAAGUAGGUCCCAAGGGUAUGGCUGUUCGCCAUUUAAAGUGGUACGCGAGCUGGGUUUAGAACGUCGUGAGACAGUUCGGUCCCUAUCUGCCGUGGGCGCUGGAGAACUGAGGGGGGCUGCUCCUAGUACGAGAGGACCGGAGUGGACGCAUCACUGGUGUUCGGGUUGUCAUGCCAAUGGCACUGCCCGGUAGCUAAAUGCGGAAGAGAUAAGUGCUGAAAGCAUCUAAGCACGAAACUUGCC